RNAcentral lists this transfer RNA (64 nucleotides) under Neohirasea japonica. Its description in RNAcentral is "tRNA-Thr". RNAcentral also lists the same sequence under 1 other name. Lineage: Eukaryota; Metazoa; Arthropoda; Insecta; Phasmatodea; Lonchodidae. The record is from RNAcentral.
GUUUUAAUAAUUUAAAUAAAAAUAUUGGUCUUGUAAACCAAAAAUGAAUUAUAUUCUUAAAACU